AUCCAACUGACGAGUCCUAAAUAGGACGAAACGAGUGUUCACUUUUGAU
This 49-nucleotide non-coding RNA is filed under the name Schistosoma mansoni. Lineage: Eukaryota; Metazoa; Platyhelminthes; Trematoda; Strigeidida; Schistosomatidae. The record is from RNAcentral.